CUGGCUUACCCGUCUUGGAUCCAACCAGCUUCACCCAGAUGAGGGAUAGGGAUUCACAGUUUUCCUCCUCCUCUUUCUCCCCAACUCCUUUUUGCUGAAUUUUAAAUUUCCUCUGGAUUCGCCCCCUCAUUGCAGAGAUCUCCUGCUGUGCAAAAUGGGUCUUCUGGCUUGAGGUUUCCCCGGCUCAAAACAGCCCCAAAGCCUUGGCAUUAGAGGAAAAUGACGUAACUGCCUCCAGCAUCAGUCAGCUCAUACCUCUGCCCCAAAGCCCUGCAGGAUACCCAGAGACUGGAUGACUCUUCCAGUACCCUGGGCAUGGGGGCAUGGAGGAACGGAGACAAGCGAAGAUAAGAUGGAAGAUGCCUACCCACCGUGUCAUUAUUCCAGGCCCAGGACCCUUCCUCUGCAGAGACUGGGGAUGGAGCAUUGACUCAGAUAAGGAGAAUUCUUUGAACUUCUUUUGAGGAAGGCUAAUUCUGCUUUCUGCUGUUGUCUUUUGUGAAAUAAAGAAGCGACAGUACA
Callithrix jacchus (white-tufted-ear marmoset) is the source of this 522-nucleotide long non-coding RNA. RefSeq lists it as uncharacterized. The record is from RefSeq and is a predicted model, not a curated record. NCBI's taxonomy places the organism in Eukaryota, Metazoa, Chordata, Mammalia, Primates, Cebidae.